Molecule: ribosomal RNA, 497 nt
Filed under: uncultured bacterium
Lineage: Bacteria
Description: partial 16S ribosomal RNA
Rfam family: Bacterial small subunit ribosomal RNA
Source: RNAcentral
GAUGAGCGCUGGCGGCGUGCCUAAUACAUGCAAGUCGAGCGAACGGACGAGAAGCUUGCUUCUCUGAUGUUAGCGGCGGACGGGUGAGUAACACGUGGAUAACCUACCUAUAAGACUGGGAUAACUUCGGGAAACCGGAGCUAAUACCGGAUAAUAUUUUGAACCGCAUGGUUCAAAAGUGAAAGACGGUCUUUCUGUCACUUAUAGAUGGAUCCGCGCUGCAUUAGCUAGUUGGUAAGGUAACGGCUUACCAAGGCGACGAUGCAUAGCCGACCUGAGAGGGGGAUCGGCCACACGGGAGCUGAGACGGGGUCCAGGCUCCUACGAGAGGCAGCAGAAGGGAAUGUUCCGCAAUGGGGGAGAGCCUGACGGAGCAACGCGGCGUGAGUUAUGAAGGUGUUCGGAUCGUGAAGCUCUGUUAUUAGGUGUGAACAUAUGUGUACGGAACUGUGCACAUAUUGACGGUACCUGGUCAGAAAGCCACGGCUAACUACGUG